ACUUAAAUAGUUUAUUUAAAAUUUUGGUUUGUGGAACCAAAAAUAUACAUUGUAUGUAUUUUAGGUA
Molecule: transfer RNA, 67 nt
Filed under: Apsilochorema hwangi
Lineage: Eukaryota; Metazoa; Arthropoda; Insecta; Trichoptera; Hydrobiosidae
Description: tRNA-His
Source: RNAcentral